GACGAACGCUGGCGGCGUGCCUAAUACAUGCAAGUCGAACGCUGAAGGAGGAGCUUGCUUCUCUGGAUGAGUUGCGAACGGGUGAGUAACGCGUAGGUAACCUGCCUGGUAGCGGGGGAUAACUAUUGGAAACGAUAGCUAAUACCGCAUAAUAGCAGUUGUUGCAUGACAACUGUUUGAAAGGUGCAAUUGCACCACUACCAGAUGGACCUGCGUUGUAUUAGCUAGUUGGUGGGGUAACGGCUCACCAAGGCGACGAUACAUAGCCGACCUGAGAGGGUGAUCGGCCACACUGGGACUGAGACACGGCCCAGACUCCUACGGGAGGCAGCAGUAGGGAAUCUUCGGCAAUGGACGGAAGUCUGACCGAGCAACGCCGCGUGAGUGAAGAAGGUUUUCGGAUCGUAAAGCUCUGUUGUAAGAGAAGAACGAGUGUGAGAGUGGAAAGUUCACACUGUGACGGUAGCUUAACAGAAAGGGACGGCUAACUACGUG
RNAcentral lists this ribosomal RNA (495 nucleotides) under uncultured bacterium. RNAcentral describes it as "partial 16S ribosomal RNA". It matches the Rfam family "Bacterial small subunit ribosomal RNA", at positions 28 to 507 of the family's 1533-position model. The record is from RNAcentral.